UGGGGAAUCUUGCACAAUGGGGGCAACCCUGAUGCAGCGACGCCGCGUGAGCGAUGAAGCCCUUCGGGGCGUAAAGCUCUUUCGACCGGAACGAUAAUGACGGUACCGGGAGAAGAAGCUGCGGCUAACUGCGUGCCAGCAGCCGCGGUAAUACGUAGGCAGCAAGCGUUGUUCGGAGUUACUGGGCGUAAAGAGUGCGUAGGCGGUUUUCUAAGUUCGGUGUGAAAUCUCCCGGCUUAACUGGGAGGGUGCGCCGAAGACUGGGAAGCUGGAGUGUGGGAAAGGCAGGCGGAAUUCCUGGUGUAGCGGUGAAAUGCGUAGAUAUCAGGAGGAACACCGGCGGUGUAGACGGCUUGCUAGACCAUAACUGACGCUGAGGCACGAAAGCGUGGGUAGCAAACA
This 402-nucleotide ribosomal RNA is filed under the name uncultured bacterium. Its description in RNAcentral is "bacterial SSU rRNA". It matches the Rfam family "Bacterial small subunit ribosomal RNA", at positions 355 to 774 of the family's 1533-position model. The record is from RNAcentral.